GAUGAACGCUGGCGGCGUGCCUAAUACAUGCAAGUCGAGCGAACGGACGAGAAGCUUGCUUCUCUGAUGUUAGCGGCGGACGGGUGAGUAACACGUGGAUAACCUACCUAUAAGACUGGGAUAACUUCGGGAAACCGUAGCUAAUACCGGAUAAUAUUUUGAACCGCAUGGUUCAAAAGUGAAAGACGGUCUUGCUGUCACUUAUAGAUGGAUCCGCGCUGCAUUAGCUAGUUGGUAAGGUAACGGCUUACCAAGGCAACGAUUCAUAGCCGACCUGAGAGGGUGAUCGGCCACACUGGAACUGAGACACGGUCCAGACUCCUACGGGAGGCAGCAGUAGGGAAUCUUCCGCAAUGGGCGAAAGCCUGACGGAGCAACGCCGCGUGAGUGAUGAAGGUCUUCGGAUCGUAAAACUCUGUUAUUAGGGAAGAACAUAUGUGUAAGUAACUGUGCACAUCUGGACGGUACCUAAUCAGGAAGCCACGGCUAACUACGU
Molecule: ribosomal RNA, 496 nt
Filed under: uncultured bacterium
Lineage: Bacteria
Description: partial 16S ribosomal RNA
Rfam family: Bacterial small subunit ribosomal RNA
Source: RNAcentral